AGUAGCAAAUUCAGUGGUGAGCUACCUGCCAUAAGCAGGUUUCCUUAUAUUUGAACUCUUAGCUGUUGAGUGGCACAGGCAGGAAUGUUUAUGUAAUAGAGUUAUUCGUAUUGGGCUGAGAAAACUUCCAGUUGUUUGAACUGCUUUCUGGGAAGAGAGAAAAGGAAGGGGAGGGAAGUCCCUGUUGGCUAGACACUGAUUGAACAAGAGAAAAAGCACGAUUCUAGGACCUCAGGAGUUCUGUAUUCCAACUAAGGUACAAUAAAAAAGACAAGUUUCUAAAAAUAAUUCUGCUCUUUUAGUCUAGUUUAGUUACUUAGAGAUGAGGAACUGGAAUAAAUGAGAAGAACAAACUGGGGACAAAGUAGACAGCAAAGAAUAGACAGUUCAGAAAGAAGGAAACAUUUGCUCUUGUUUCCUUGCAGGGCUUCCACCUGGAGUCUCUAUGCUUUUUCACCUUCUGAUUGGUUGGACUGUAGUUAAAUGGUGGUGCCUACCUUAACCCCUGAAUCAAGCAUUGAAAGACUUUCAAGAUGCGCUUUUGCAAGAGUUUUUGAGGAAACUGUAAUGCUGGCUGUACUGACCUGAAGAAGGUGGUGUGACUGGAUCUGAAAGGUGGACACUGUUCCCUCCGGACAGCUGCCAAAGCAAGACCAUAAAGCAAAGUGAAAUGAAAGUUCUAUUCAGGGAAAGCUAAGACAUUUUGGUGUGAACUAUGUUGCCUUCUGCUCUAAGGUUUCAAGUGGUGGCUUUAAAGUUUAAAGGGACCAGCAUUGCUCUGUGACUCUGUGCUGGAAGCUGAGCUCACCACACCUCUCUCUUGGGUUACAGGGUACACUUACUACCAUACCCGGAGCAACUAGGAGAUUGUCCAGUCAGCCACUGCUGAAAAUGGAGGUGGUGUUAAUUUUGAAAACGAUCCAUGCUGUAAUGUCAUGAACCAGGAAGCUGGAAUCCUUCACCAGCUCUUCAUGCAAAUAUUUGGCUGCAGCUUGAGCUGAAGGACUUGGAAGGAGUGAGUUUUAAAAACUCAUUGUAGAGUUUUCAUUAACCCCACUUCUCCCUGAGAAUGGUCUGUUUGUCUGCCUCCUGUCUUAUCUCCCUAAGGUAUAUUUACAAUAUCCUAUUUGAUAUUAUCUUUCUAGUUAGGGUUCAUGUUCUACUGUGGUCCAAGAAUACAAAGAAAGGUACCACUCUCUUAGAUUUCAAGCAGCACAAAAAUCCACAUACUACAAUUUAAAAAAAUGCAUCAAGGCUGUUAAAAAAUUAAUGGUUAAAAAAGGAUAAAUUAUAUCUUUUGAUAAGUACUAACUCAAGUUUCCCUUUAUACUAAAGGUAAGAGGUGUGUGUGUGUGUGUGUGUGUGUGUGUGUAUGGCUCUUUGCAAAUUCAUCUGGCCUGGCCGAAAUAAGUUUGGUGAAUCAAAUUUACAAAUCCUGCAUGCACUCAUUUCUCCUGGCCCUGAUAUUUGUCUCAGUCGAUAACUUCCAUUCACAAUUGCCUUCUUAAAAUUUCAAAUUGUGGAUACUACUCUGAUUUUAUAACAAAUUAAUUUUUUCCUGCUUUGUGGAUUUUAUAAAAUUAACUCUCUCCUUGGCUGAAAACUUCCUAGAGGUAUCCUUUAACCACUGAACAACUUAGAGAUCAUUUCUGUUGGACCAGAGGAGUCUACACCAAGAAGCAGGCAGACAUUAUGCCCUGGUAUCUGCCAUCCUUGCCAAAUGACCAUACCUUCACAGCUUUCCUGGAAUCCCAGAUCCUUCUGCUGGUUCCCACAGAAGAACUGUACAGCUAGCUCUUGUAAUUAAAUCAUCUGUGUGCUACUCCUCCUGCCUUCGAGGACACAGGCAGAUAUACUAUACAAGGAACCUGUCUGCAAAGCACUGGUUCAGAAGUAUUGCCUAAUAAUUUCUCAAGGGGGAGAUUGAGACACACUUAGAUAAGCCAAACCUCUCCAGGGAACAGAUACUGAUCAGAUACACAAGUGAAAUAUUUAACCCUUCCUGCAGUUAGCUAGCAGGGGAAUAGUAACCAAAUCAACCUGUAAGAGACCAACAGCAAUAAAAUCACCAAGCCCAGUGGGACUUCUCCAGGGGCAGCUGAAGCAGAAUUGUACCUUGUACUAAAUCUCCAUAAUGAAAGAUUACAUUUUGUUAUGAACAUCUUGAUGAUUUUUUUUUUGCUCCAGAAGCAUUUCCCAGUUCCCUUGUUCCUGGUUUUAUUAAUUUUAUAAUUAUCUGUGAAUUGAAGGGGUUAACAGACUCUUGCUCAGCACAGUUGGAUUGGCAGAAAGAUGCAUUUAGGGAGCUGAUAGGUGGGAAGUUUUUUUUUUAAUUAAGAAUAAUAAGACCUUGAUUUUACUUUAAGCUUGACCAUCAGUAACUGCAAGACUUUGAACUGCAGCUGUAAUAGAGGCAUACAGAUCCCUGAUCUACUUACCUCCCCUGCUUAUUAUAAGAACUAAAUGAAAAAAAUGCGUGUGCAAAAAAUG
Molecule: long non-coding RNA, 2490 nt
Organism: Phyllostomus discolor (pale spear-nosed bat)
Lineage: Eukaryota; Metazoa; Chordata; Mammalia; Chiroptera; Phyllostomidae
Exons: 2
Source: RefSeq, a predicted model, not a curated record